Molecule: long non-coding RNA, 3554 nt
Organism: Belonocnema kinseyi
Lineage: Eukaryota; Metazoa; Arthropoda; Insecta; Hymenoptera; Cynipidae
Exons: 4
Source: RefSeq, a predicted model, not a curated record
AAGUACAAAAAGCAAAAGAAACUGGUACUCGUCUUAAGUUACCAUCACAAAAAGUGCUAGAUUCCAUGUUAUCUCAGGAAGAAGUCAGCUUUGUUAAUGACGAAGAUAAGUUGAAGGCUUGUAAAAAGUGCGAAAUCAUGAAACGAAAUGUUACAGAGUUGAAAGAAAAAUGUGAACUUUUAUCUGGAGAAAAUGAAACACUUGGAGGAGAGCUUAUUCUGAAAGAUAAAGAACUGGCGAUAACAAAGGUUGUUGUUCAAAUUUUAGAAGAUGAUAAUCAUAAAAAAGUAUUGGAGUCAGAUACUCUGCGGUUGUUACAGUAAUUAGCAAAAAAUUGCUAUGGAAAAGCAUAGCAAGUUUCUCGACAUCCACAGAGCCACUAUGGAAGCUUCCACUUCUGAUGGAGGAGGAAAAUUCCCGGCGAUUGGAUUUAUUACUGAGGAUGGAGCUCAGUGGCGCACCACGUAGGAAUAUACGCCGAGCAGGUAAACAAGUGCGGGAAAGAUUAGAGCAGGCGAUAGCGCAAGCAAAUAUCAUCUCUGCAGUCAUUCAAGAGGAACCGGCCGAAUCCAGUUCCAUCGACCAGCGCCCCUCACAAAGCGAGACAAAUGUCCUGGGGACAAUAGGUUUCGUUGCGGAAUUUUCAGACCUCUUCAAGGCUGCACUCAACAGAGCCGAAGCGGCGAAACUUCUCUCAAAACAGUAAAAGAAGACAAUAGAGCACACGAAGAAAGGAAGGCGAGCCAAUAAUGUCAAUCGAUCUAAGGCUACGAUCAUCAAUAAUUAUCGAUUUAAUUUAAAUUAUCGAAUUAACUUUUAUCAAUAACUUAGUGAAGCCUUUAAAAAAAUCGAUCCCGAUUCACGCAGUUGAACCUACUGCGCGAAUUCCUGUAGAGCCAAACCGAAAAGUUUGGGAAGGUCCUGGCGAUAACGAAGUUAUUAUAAUAGAUCUACCUUUAGAAGAGGCUUUAGAGCAAAGGAGGGCGGUGCGAAAUCAAGAAAUUAGGGUUAUUAACGUGACGUCGAUCAACGUGCGGGAAGAUUCGGAUUCGGAAACAAUAACCACUCCGCUAGAAGCAGACGAAACCGAAGUACAGACGAUAACGUUAGAGUAGUAAUUUGGGGCAGCAAUCAGUUAUUGUAUCGGUCCCUUGCACCUCUUCCCUCGCACCCUUGGGACAUCCUAAGGCAAGCGGAAUACUGGGCCAAGUUGCUCAACGCGUUCUGGGUUUUUAAAAACUUAUCGAACUACCGAGCAUGCGCCCACAUAUAGGUUACGUCCAGGAUGAGUAACGGAAGUAAUGGGACAGAGGAAAACCAUGCCGUAGAGAGAGUCAAACCCAGGCUCAUAAAAACCUCCAGUUCACUCCGAUAAUAUGGCGAAUACGCAAAACUUUAGAGGCCCAGAAAUGGCGGACCCGGAACCUGCCAGGAUAAAUCUGAAUGCUUCUACGGUGGCGGAAAUGUAUAAUUCGCGCGCCUACAUUAGAUUUCAACAUAGCACGAACGCUCUUCGGCCGAACCCAGUAGGCAAUGCUGACAAUGCCGCGAUGUUUAUGGCACAAUCAAUCCCAGACACCCUUUGAAUUCAACAAGAAGCUAGUUAUAUCCGAAUUUACGGUGGAAAAAAUAUCUCAAUUAGGAGGCAGAGGGACUGCAGAAUACCCUCCACAACUACCGAGAACGUUUAGAGCGGACUGAGUCUCACUGUAGGCUCACUCUAAGCACUGACUGUGAGAAGUCAUUUUCAUACACCAGAUUAAGAACAACAAUGGCCACCACCGAAAUUCUACGCAACGAAUUAGUUGGCGCUAUACAAGAGCUAAAAGAACAUAGGCUCACGUGCCGUUAAACUGCCAACCAGUAGGCAUCGAAGAAAAAGCAUGUCACCGGGUACGCGACCGUCUCAUAUGUCACUCAACAUAGUCCAUCUACGACGUUGUUCUGGUCCAGAGUUGCGAGAUUGAAUUAUUACGACAUCCCUCAAUAGAAGCUCUGAGGAGCUGUGACAUUAGAAUCACCUACGACCAACAGCCGUACUGGAUUCCAAUAGGCACACUCGGAGGCUGGUUGUAUUGACUCAGUUUCCCUGAAACAGCCCGCCUUACUUGCAACGGGAAACCUACCCAAGAGCAUCGAAUAAGUAGAGUAGGUCUGAUUCAAAUAGCCUUUGGGUGUUGAUUAUGAACCGAGAACACAGUAUUACCAGCAAUUACACUUAAGGAAAACAUGCAAGAAUACGUGCAUGAGACACCACUGGCGUUAGAUCUGGUCGAAGUAUCCCCCAUCCUUGCCCGAAAUCCGAAGAAUGUCAAAGUUUUGCCCGUCACAACAGAAAGUAGUUCCAAACCAUGGCAAAGGACGGACACUGAUGAAACGCUCGCAGAACUUGAAGACAAGUUGUUAGAGCUAGAGAAAAGUCGACACCAUAUAGAGCUAGGAGACCAAUAUCGUCGUUGUGCUAUGCUUGUCGCAGAGACCAACCAAAUUUUCAGAGAAGGGAUAAGACGGAGCAGAACUCAGCCAUCUAGAGUAUCCCUAACAACUCGCGUUCCAUGUCUGGAGGCACGAAGAGCAGGGAUAAGAAAGCCAAGGAGCACACGUCAGAGUCGGCACCUCGGCUAAACCAGCCGACCAGGGAGGCGGAAGAAGUCAUAAGUUUGAGGCAGGAGCCUAAACCAGCACGGCCUACAAUGCGUAAAGUCCCUCCGCAGGAUAUAGAGGGUCUUGAAAGUGAAGUGGAGUGUGACAAUAAGUGAAAAAGGGGGUUAGGCGGUGAAAAGAAAAAGGGGCUUUAGACAAACCAGUGCCGUAACAAAAUCAAUAUCGGGAAAAUAUGUAUAAAAUAAGAAAAAGGACUCUAUCAUCAACAUUUUACCGGGUUUUACAAUUAUCACUGCAGCCGUCAAGGGACGGCGGUCAUAAAAAGGCAAGAUGGGUUGUUACAACCAAGAUUACUUUCUUCUAAUUAGUUAGCACUAUCCACUCAGGAGGAUAAAAAGAGAAACAUAGAGUGCAAACUCAGCAUUUCCUGUCGUCUGGUAGCGGUAAGAAGCAAGGUACAUACAUAGCAAGGUGCAUACUCGCGCCUGGGAUUAGCGGCGGAGUAACACCUUAUGCGAAACCACAAUCCUAGUAGUUGUGGAGGACGAACGACGGUGCACGGCAGGGAGAUGCCGCACGGUCAAUUAAAGUAGUUCCUCCCUACCCAUUAAAACCAAGCUCCCUGCACCUUCGAUUGCACAUUAUCUAAUUGUCGCAGAAGCCAGUAGGUCGCCCGGCAGUUUAACUGUUCCUGUAAUACAGUUCAGGUCGCGGUCUUUCUUUUCUCGCGUUUUCUUUGCCCGUCUCUCGGUUCUGUCGUGAGACAAAAAUUAAUUAACGCAAAGAAAAUAGAGGCUUCGAAUUUAAAUCAAAUUCAUUGAUUUAAAUUAUUUUCUGAUCAUAUACUCUCUGUUUCUCCAAAGUCUGGGGUGACUACCAUUGUAUCAAAUCACUGGCUGUUCCUCGUUCCCUAUUAUAUGGAAGAGUUUCGAGCCUAGUCUUCUGUAUUC